This is a small nuclear RNA of Schistocerca serialis cubense, 189 nucleotides long. RefSeq annotates it as U2 spliceosomal RNA. The transcript has a single exon. Lineage: Eukaryota; Metazoa; Arthropoda; Insecta; Orthoptera; Acrididae. The record is from RefSeq and is a predicted model, not a curated record.
AUUUCCUCUAAGAAUUCUGUCAUCAAGUAAAAAUACCUGUUCUUAUCAGCUUAAUAUCUACUACAUCCUGCAACACAGGACUAGAAUACCGAACUCAUUUUUGGCCAUUGAUGGAGUACUAAGAGAAUGCUCUACUUUUUCACAGGAUGCCUCCUCAGUUUCAAACUCUCAUAAGCUACCCAAAUUCUU